UGAAGAAAAGGGAAGGAUUCUGGGGAAAUGGAGAGAGGAAGAAAGAGCCUUCAUCCAUAGAGGAGCAUGUGCAUGCCAAAUUCUCUAGAGAAAGAAAGAAAGGAUUCUGACUAUUUCAAGAUUUUAGAUUGGUAUAUACUCGUUUGUAGUUAGGCAUAAAACCUAGGUUUUCUUUCCCUCUCCCGCCUUAUUCUCUUCUCUGUUCGCUCUCUCCCAAACGACCUUGUACGAUCCGAAUUCAAUGAUUUUUCUUAUGUAAUGAGUAUCCAAAUGGCAAACCCGGCCAUUGUAUGCUCCCAUACUGUGAAUGGUGUUUCCAAAGUACAUUCAGAAUUGCGAAAAGCAAAAUUAUUCAAGGACUUCUAUGAGCUGUGGCCUCUGAAAUUUCAAUGCAAGACAAAUGGUGUUACCCAGGUAUAAAGUUCAUAGCAUCUUUUAUAAAGUACUUGCUAGUUUCAUUAGACUAUUCCUUCUGUUUAUGUGGUUGAAGAAGAAUGGUGAGAUACACACCUCCAAAGAUGGGUUUUGAUGGGUUUUGUAGUUUGUGCUGUUAUAGUUAUCAAAUAGGACUUAUGGAGCAGAGUGUUCCAAAGAGUUAAUUAAGUAAAAUAAUCUGCAGACUCUGAGUCUUCAAUAUUUUCUUGCUUAUGGAUAAGAAACAUUUGGCAAUC
This is a non-coding RNA of Prunus avium (sweet cherry), 671 nucleotides long. The record is from RefSeq and is a predicted model, not a curated record. NCBI's taxonomy places the organism in Eukaryota, Viridiplantae, Streptophyta, Magnoliopsida, Rosales, Rosaceae.